This 159-nucleotide ribosomal RNA is filed under the name Escherichia coli. RNAcentral's name for it is "partial 16S ribosomal RNA". It matches the Rfam family "Bacterial small subunit ribosomal RNA", at positions 1 to 151 of the family's 1533-position model. The record is from RNAcentral. RNAcentral also lists the same sequence under 6 other names. Lineage: Bacteria; Pseudomonadati; Pseudomonadota; Gammaproteobacteria; Enterobacterales; Enterobacteriaceae.
UUAAAUUGAAGAGUUUGAUCAUGGCUCAGAUUGAACGCUGGCGGCAGGCCUAACACAUGCAAGUCGAACGGUAACAGGAAGCAGCUUGCUGCUUUGCUGACGAGUGGCGGACGGGUGAGUAAUGUCUGGGAAACUGCCUGAUGGAGGGGGAUAACUACU